UAGGGAAUCUUCCACAAUGGACGCAAGUCUGAUGGAGCAACGCCGCGUGAGUGAAGAAGGUUUUCGGAUCGUAAAGCUCUGUUGUUGGUGAAGAAGGAUAGAGGCAGUAACUGGUCUUUAUUAGACGGUAAUCAACCAGAAAGUCACGGCUAACUACGUGCCAGCAGCCGCGGUAAUACGUAGGUGGCAAGCGUUGUCCGGAUUUAUUGGGCGUAAAGCGAGCGCAGGCGGAAUGAUAAGUCUGAUGUGAAAGCCCACGGCUCAACCGUGGAACUGCAUCGGAAACUGUCAUUCUUGAGUGCAGAAGAGGAGAGUGGAAUUCCAUGUGUAGCGGUGGAAUGCGUAGAUAUAUGGAAGAACACCAGUGGCGAAGGCGGCUCUCUGGUCUGCAACUGACGCUGAGGCUCGAAAGCAUGGGUAGCGAACAGG
RNAcentral lists this ribosomal RNA (429 nucleotides) under bacterium. RNAcentral's name for it is "partial 16S ribosomal RNA". It matches the Rfam family "Bacterial small subunit ribosomal RNA", at positions 355 to 776 of the family's 1533-position model. The record is from RNAcentral.